GACGAACGCUGGCGGCGUGCUUAACACAUGCAAGUCGAACGGAAAGGCCCCUUUGGGGGUCCUCGAGUGGCGAACGGGUGCGUAACACGUGAGUAACCUGCCCUUGACUUCGGGAUAACUUCAGGAAACUGGGGCUAAUACCGGAUAGGAAUCCUUGCUGCAUGGUGGGGGUUGGAAAGCUUCGGCGGUUUUGGAUGGACUCGCGGCUUAUCAGCUUGUUGGUGGGGUAGUGGCUUACCAAGGCUUUGACGGGUAGCCGGCCUGAGAGGGCGACCGGCCACAUUGGGACUGAGAGACGGCCCAGACUCCUACGGGAGGCAGCAGUGGGGAAUAUUGAACAAUGGGCGGAAGCCUGAUGCAGCAACGCCGCGUGCGGGAUGACGGCCUUCGGGUUGUAAACCGCUUUCAGCAGGGGCGAAGCUUGUGGUGACGGUACCUGCAGAAGAAGCACCGGCUAACUACGUG
Molecule: ribosomal RNA, 465 nt
Filed under: uncultured bacterium
Lineage: Bacteria
Description: partial 16S ribosomal RNA
Rfam family: Bacterial small subunit ribosomal RNA
Source: RNAcentral